CCUACGGGAGGCAGCAGUGGGGAAUAUUGCACAAUGGGGGAAACCCUGAUGCAGCGACGCCGCGUGAGUGAAGAAGUAUUUCGGUACGUAAAGCUCUAUCAGCAGGGAAGAAAAUGACGGUACCUGACUAAGAAGCCCCGGCUAACUACGUGCCAGCAGCCGCGGUAAUACGUAGGGGGCAAGCGUUAUCCGGAUUUACUGGGUGUAAAGGGAGCGUAGACGGCAGCGCAAGUCUGGAGUGAAAUCCCAUGGCUUAACCAUGGAACUGCUUUGGAAACUGUGCAGCUAGAGUGCAGGAGAGGUAAGCAGAAUUCCUAGUGUAGCGGUGAAAUGCGUAGAUAUUAGGAGGAACACCAGUGGCGAAGGCGGCUUACUGGACUGUAACUGACGUUGAGGCUCGAAAGCGUGGGGAGCAAACAGGAUUAGAUACCCUAGUAGUC
Molecule: ribosomal RNA, 440 nt
Filed under: uncultured bacterium
Lineage: Bacteria
Description: partial 16S ribosomal RNA
Rfam family: Bacterial small subunit ribosomal RNA
Source: RNAcentral